CCUACGGGGUGCAGCAGUGGGGAAUAUUGGACAAUGGGCGAAAGCCUGAUCCAGCCAUGCCGCGUGUGUGAAGAAGGCCUUCGGGUUGUAAAGCACUUUCAGUGGGGAAGAAAGCCUUGGGGCUAAUACCCUCGAGGAAGGACAUCACCCACAGAAGAAGCACCGGCUAACUCCGUGCCAGCAGCCGCGGUAAUACGGAGGGUGCGAGCGUUAAUCGGAAUUACUGGGCGUAAAGCGCGCGUAGGCGGUCUGAUAAGCCGGUUGUGAAAGCCCCGGGCUCAACCUGGGAACGGCAUCCGGAACUGUCAGGCUAGAGUGCAGGAGAGGAAGGUAGAAUUCCCGGUGUAGCAGUGAAAUGCGUAGAGAUCGGGAGGAAUACCAGUGGCGAAGGCGGCCUUCUGGACUGACACUGACGCUGAGGUGCGAAAGCGUGGGUAGCAAACAGGAUUAGAUACCCUGGUAGUC
This 465-nucleotide ribosomal RNA is filed under the name Vreelandella stevensii. RNAcentral describes it as "partial 16S ribosomal RNA". It matches the Rfam family "Bacterial small subunit ribosomal RNA", at positions 338 to 795 of the family's 1533-position model. The record is from RNAcentral. Lineage: Bacteria; Pseudomonadati; Pseudomonadota; Gammaproteobacteria; Oceanospirillales; Halomonadaceae.